RNAcentral lists this antisense RNA (75 nucleotides) under Streptomyces sp. NRRL S-4. RNAcentral's name for it is "ASpks sRNA". It matches the Rfam family "ASpks TB sRNA". The record is from RNAcentral. Lineage: Bacteria; Bacillati; Actinomycetota; Actinomycetes; Kitasatosporales; Streptomycetaceae.
CUUGACCGACCCGAGCAGCAGCGGCCGGUCAGCCGGCCGCUCGCGUCCGUACGUCGCCAGCAGUGCCUGUGCCUC